This 253-nucleotide ribosomal RNA is filed under the name uncultured bacterium. Its description in RNAcentral is "partial 16S ribosomal RNA". It matches the Rfam family "Bacterial small subunit ribosomal RNA", at positions 524 to 776 of the family's 1533-position model. The record is from RNAcentral.
GACAGAGGUGCCAAGCGUUAGGCGGAAUCACUGGGCUUAAAGCGUGUGUAGGCGGGUCGUUAAGUGUCUUGUGAAAUCCCCCGGCUCAACCGGGGAAUGGCUGGGCAUACUGGCGAUCUUGAGCAGUCUAGGGGCAGAAGGAACAGACGGUGGAGCGGUGAAAUGCGUAGAUAUCGUCUGGAACGCCAAAGGUGAAGACAGUCUGCUGGGGACUUGCUGACGCUGAGACACGAAAGCCAGGGGAGCGAACGGG